CGUUAGCGGCGGACGGGUGAGUAACACGUGGAUAACCUACCUAUAAGACUGGGAUAACUUCGGGAAACCGGAGCUAAUACCGGAUAAUAUAUUGAACCGCAUGGUUCAAUAGUGAAAGACGGUUUUGCUGUCACUUAUAGACGGAUCCGCGCCGCAUUAGCUAGUUGGUAAGGUAACGGCUUACCAAGGCAACGAUGCGUAGCCGACCUGAGAGGGUGAUCGGCCACACUGGAACUGAGACACGGUCCAG
Molecule: ribosomal RNA, 250 nt
Filed under: uncultured Staphylococcus sp.
Lineage: Bacteria; Bacillati; Bacillota; Bacilli; Caryophanales; Staphylococcaceae
Description: partial 16S ribosomal RNA
Rfam family: Bacterial small subunit ribosomal RNA
Source: RNAcentral